CGAGGCUACUGAGGCAGAGAUUAUAAGUGGAUCAAGAGACAAUUGAAUACAUCUUCUGGGAAAAGAAGAGAUUACAGAAUAUGAUGAGAAACUGUGACACUGACAAGAAAGAAGAGGUAAAGACAAUUGAAUACUUUGAAGCAGGAAGUUCAUUUGAUUACGUUCCAAGGAUUGACUGAAGGAGAUCUGACGUAAAAGGGUACUGUAAAGUUAUUCUGGUGAAUCAGGGAGAAGAAAUCCUGUUAGAACUGUGAAGAGCUUUGGAUUUUAAACGCAAGAUUGCAUGUCUACAAUGACGUGGUUCUGUGACAGUGACCUGGAACACCCUCAAGGACAAUAGCAGUGUGUCUCACUCAUCAGGAGGAAAUGGCAUCAAGGAUGAUGGAUGCUACUUCCUCCUUUAUCCCUAACACAUCCUGAGCGUGCCUUCAGCUGUGACUUCUCUCUGUCGCAGCUGUUUGACAGCUGCUGGAGGUUGCUGCUCAUCCUGAGUAGAAACCAAAGUCAAAGACAUAAAAAAGAUGGCUCAGAGGGAACCAAUUACCACCAGCCCAUGGGUUGUGUAUUAAAAAAGUAUUGAUCAGACUUUCUAGCACCUUGACUUCCAGCCAGUGCCUGAAGGCAUGCAUUUCACACUUCCCUCGCAAAGCAACAGUGAAGAGUGUUGGCACAAUUCCAUUGGAUGCUUUGAACCCAACUUAUGACCUGAUUGACCAAAGGGCACAGAACAUUCAGUAAGGUCCAAGGCAGGAGGGGGUGGAGAUAAACACAUACCAAGAAGUCACACCCUCAGUGAAGACUCUCAAUAAAGACUCGCAGCAAGACUCGUGAAGCAACCGAAGAAGACCCAGGAGAAUAUCUGUCCUGACUUGCAAGGCCCAGUUUAAUGGAAGAGAUCCAGCCCUACUUUGGAAAGGAAGGAGAUUCCAACAGCCCAGCUCAAACACGUUGAUUGUUGUGGGUAAUAUUCUUUCUCAGAUGGAUAGAGUAAGAUAGAGAGUAAAUAUU
Rhincodon typus (whale shark) is the source of this 1008-nucleotide long non-coding RNA. RefSeq lists it as uncharacterized. NCBI's taxonomy places the organism in Eukaryota, Metazoa, Chordata, Chondrichthyes, Orectolobiformes, Rhincodontidae. The record is from RefSeq and is a predicted model, not a curated record. The transcript has 3 exons.